Molecule: long non-coding RNA, 860 nt
Organism: Olea europaea var. sylvestris
Lineage: Eukaryota; Viridiplantae; Streptophyta; Magnoliopsida; Lamiales; Oleaceae
Exons: 5
Source: RefSeq, a predicted model, not a curated record
AUUGCUUACUCCUAGGAAAAAGAUCAGAAAAGGCGCGCAUGUAUAUUAUUUCCUGCCACCUCGGGGAUCGACUGGGCUAUCAUUGAGGAACACGUAUUUCAACCCUAAAAACUUCUCAGAUUCUUAGAAAUGGCGGACCAGGCCUCGCAUUUUAGGCAGCCGAGUUGGAGUUUCUUGCAGAGGAUGAAAUGAUUGAGAUUGUACCAAACAUGAGGAUGGAUCCCCUGAAUUUCGUCUCUGGGGAUUUUGGUCCUUUUAGACCGCAAAUAGCAAUGCAGGUGCCACUGUGGUUGGCAGUGGCGUUGAAGAAGAGAGGCAAUUGCAUGAUUCGGCCCCCAGGUGGAUGUCUGUUGAUUUUGCUGGCUUCUACCAUGCUACGCCCACAAACGUGCGGAGUACUUCCUUUUCUUUAUGCUUGGAAAGUUUGGAACUUUGUAAUUGAGUCAAGUUUUUCUGCUUAGUAUCUCUUACAGUUUCAGUAUUUUGAUUUAUGUCAAGUUCUUCUACCCCAGCUCUUCUGUGAAUUUUGUAAGAUAAUUCAUCAUCUAUGUCAUCUCGCUCCAUUUCAAAAUUAAUGCUAUCUUGACUCAUUGUGAAAGGGUCAUCUUUCUGAAAGAGAAAAGCUGUAAUGCUGUAUUAAUGCAUCUUUUGAACAUGAAUAUACAUAUAAACUUCGUUACAGGGUUUUUAACUUCUGUAUUGAUCUACAAGUUUGCAUUAUUUGGUUUUCAAUUCCCAAUACCAAGAACCAAGCGAGAAGGAUAAGGAUUUCUUAUUGAUUCCCCUUUUUUCCACCAGAAAAGUUAACACAAGUGUUGGAAGUAGAACGAGAUUCUGAAAAGUUUCAACCUUUCCCAUUU